UGCUACAGCUAUGCCACCCUGAACGCGCCCGAUCUCGUCUGAUCUCGGAAGCUAAGGAGGGUCGGGCCUGGUUAGUACUUGGAUGGGAGACCACCUAGGAAGACCAGGUGCUGUAGGUG
RNAcentral lists this ribosomal RNA (119 nucleotides) under Pteropus alecto (black flying fox). Lineage: Eukaryota; Metazoa; Chordata; Mammalia; Chiroptera; Pteropodidae. The record is from RNAcentral.